Molecule: ribosomal RNA, 575 nt
Filed under: Salmonella enterica
Lineage: Bacteria; Pseudomonadati; Pseudomonadota; Gammaproteobacteria; Enterobacterales; Enterobacteriaceae
Description: partial 23S ribosomal RNA
Rfam family: Bacterial large subunit ribosomal RNA
Source: RNAcentral
GGCAUAAGCCAGCUUGACUGCGAGAGUGACGGCUCGAGCAGGUGCGAAAGCAGGUCUUAGUGAUCCGGUGGUUCUGAAUGGAAGGGCCAUCGCUCAACGGAUAAAAGGUACUCCGGGGAUAACAGGCUGAUACCGCCCAAGAGUUCAUAUCGACGGCGGUGUUUGGCACCUCGAUGUCGGCUCAUCACAUCCUGGGGCUGAAGUAGGUCCCAAGGGUAUGGCUGUUCGCCAUUUAAAGUGGUACGCGAGCUGGGUUUAGAACGUCGUGAGACAGUUCGGUCCCUAUCUGCCGUGGGCGCUGGAGAAUUGAGGGGGGCUGCUCCUAGUACGAGAGGACCGGAGUGGACGCAUCACUGGUGUUCGGGUUGUCAUGCCAAUGGCACUGCCCGGUAGCUAAAUGCGGAAGAGAUAAGUGCUGAAAGCAUCUAAGCACGAAACUUGCCCCGAGAUGAGUUCUCCCUGAGACUUAGAGUCUCCUGAAGGAACGUUGAAGACGACGACGUUGAUAGGCCGGGUGUGUAAGCGCAGCGAUGCGUUGAGCUAACCGGUACUAAUGAACCGUGAGGCUUAACCUU